Molecule: transfer RNA, 77 nt
Filed under: Proteus mirabilis
Lineage: Bacteria; Pseudomonadati; Pseudomonadota; Gammaproteobacteria; Enterobacterales; Morganellaceae
Description: tRNA-Met
Rfam family: tRNA
About the family: Transfer RNA (tRNA) molecules are approximately 80 nucleotides in length. Their secondary structure includes four short double-helical elements and three loops (D, anti-codon, and T loops).
Source: RNAcentral
CGCGGGGUGGAGCAGCUUGGUAGCUCGUCGGGCUCAUAACCCGAAGGUCGUGAGUUCAAAUCCGGCGCCCGCAACCA